RNAcentral lists this small nuclear RNA (294 nucleotides) under Erinaceus europaeus (western European hedgehog). Its description in RNAcentral is "7SK RNA". The stretch from base 1 to 261 matches the Rfam family "7SK RNA". Rfam says of the family: 7SK was discovered as an abundant small nuclear RNA in the mid-70s but a possible function has only recently been suggested. Two independent studies have found that 7SK RNA binds the CDK9/cyclin T complex (known as elongation factor P-TEFb). The record is from Rfam by way of RNAcentral. Lineage: Eukaryota; Metazoa; Chordata; Mammalia; Eulipotyphla; Erinaceidae.
AGACUGGAGGCCUAGGAUGUGAGAGUGAUCACCCUGUUGAUCUCCAGGGUUGCAUCAGCUGAUCUGGUUGUCUGGGCAGGUAUCUCCUUCCUCCUUCACUGCUCCAUGUUUGUCCCUCCUGAAGCUAUGUACUCAGUUGAAGAGGAUGACCUUCCCUGAAUAGAGAUGGACCAGUCUUUCAUCGAGGGUAUAUGAGUAGCUGUGAUCCCCUCCUAGAACCUUCAUAAGCUAUCAAGGGAGGGGAUUGGAUACUGAGUUUUGGGCGUGGGAACUUUACCCCUCUUAUCCUAUAGU